CCUACGGGGGGCUGCAGUGGGGAAUAUUGGACAAUGGGGGCAACCCUGAUCCAGCCAUGCCGCGUGUGUGAAGAAGGCCCUCGGGUUGUAAAGCACUUUCAGUGAGGAAGAACGCCUGGUGGUUAAUACCCAUCAGGAAAGACAUCACUCACAGAAGAAGCGCCGGCUAACUCCGUGCCAGCAGCCGCGGUAAUACGGAGGGUGCGAGCGUUAAUCGGAAUUACUGGGCGUAAAGCGCGCGUAGGUGGCUUGAUAAGCCGGUUGUGAAAGCCCCGGGCUCAACCUGGGAACGGCAUCCGGAACUGUCAAGCUAGAGUGCAGGAGAGGAAGGUAGAAUUCCCGGUGUAGCGGUGAAAUGCGUAGAGAUCGGGAGGAAUACCAGUGGCGAAGGCGGCCUUCUGGACUGACACUGACACUGAGGUGCGAAAGCGUGGGUAGCAAACAGGAUUAGAUACCCGGGUAGUC
Molecule: ribosomal RNA, 465 nt
Filed under: Vreelandella stevensii
Lineage: Bacteria; Pseudomonadati; Pseudomonadota; Gammaproteobacteria; Oceanospirillales; Halomonadaceae
Description: partial 16S ribosomal RNA
Rfam family: Bacterial small subunit ribosomal RNA
Source: RNAcentral